Molecule: ribosomal RNA, 254 nt
Filed under: uncultured bacterium
Lineage: Bacteria
Description: partial 16S ribosomal RNA
Rfam family: Bacterial small subunit ribosomal RNA
Source: RNAcentral
UACAGGGGGUGCAAACGUUGCUCGGAAUCAUUGGGCGUAAAGCGCACGUAGGCGGUUCGUUAUGUCGGAUGUGAAAGCCCUUGGCUUAACCGAGGAAGUGCAUCCGAAACUGGCGAGCUAGAGUACGAAAGAGGAUCGCGGAAUUCCCGGUGUAGAGGUGAAAUUCGUAGAUAUCGGGAGGAACACCGGUGGCGAAGGCGGCGAUCUGGGGUCGAUACUGACGCUGAGGUGCGAAAGCGUGGGGAGCAAACAGG